CCUACGGGGGGCAGCAGUGGGGAAUAUUGGACAAUGGGGGGAACCCUGAUCCAGCCAUGCCGCGUGUGUGAAGAAGGCCCUCGGGUUGUAAAGCACUUUCAGUGAGGAAGAACGCCUGGUGGUUAAUACCCAUCAGGAAAGACAUCACUCACAGAAGAAGCACCGGCUAACUCCGUGCCAGCAGCCGCGGUAAUACGGAGGGUGCGAGCGUUAAUCGGAAUUACUGGGCGUAAAGCGCGCGUAGGUGGCGUGAUAAGCCGGUUGUGAAAGCCCCGGGCUCAACCUGGGAACGGCAUCCGGAACUGUCAAGCUAGAGUGCAGGAGAGGAAGGUAGAAUUCCCGGUGUAGCGGUGAAAUGCGUAGAGAUCGGGAGGAAUACCAGUGGCGAAGGCGGCCUUCUGGACUGACACUGACACUGAGGUGCGAAAGCGUGGGUAGCAAACAGGAUUAGAUACCCCAGUAGUC
RNAcentral lists this ribosomal RNA (465 nucleotides) under Vreelandella stevensii. RNAcentral describes it as "partial 16S ribosomal RNA". It matches the Rfam family "Bacterial small subunit ribosomal RNA", at positions 338 to 795 of the family's 1533-position model. Lineage: Bacteria; Pseudomonadati; Pseudomonadota; Gammaproteobacteria; Oceanospirillales; Halomonadaceae. The record is from RNAcentral.